AGAGAAAGAAGCUCAUGAUGCCCACAGACAACAACAGCAACAGGAGCUGCAGGAGAUGCUGGACAGACAUCGCUCCCAGAAUGAGGCGUGGCUCCGAGCCAGAGCUGAGGAGAAUGACCGAGAGAGGAGGGAGCUCUGCAGACUCAGAGAGGAGGUGUUGCAGGAGCAGGAGAGGCUGAAGGAGGAACACAGCAGCAUCCAGAAACGCAGCGAACAUCUUCUGUCCAUCAUGCAACAGUUUAAAGGAAUGUGAAACAGAUACUGUAGAUAGAUAGAGUUAGAGAAAUGUGUUAAAAAAUUGCAGUUCUGGGAUACACCCCAUUACAUAAGCCAGUAAAGAGAUGUCACUGAUAUUAAUCUUUUUCCUUUUGUUCCCGUCCCCCACUCUUUUUUUCUUUUUCAUGUUUGUUUAAUUUGGACAUUGAUGUUUAGAUCAGAAAGUAAUCUGAGUGAUAAGGAGAUUACUUGAAGGGGGAAAAUGAGAGAUAAAGGGGGAAAAAUCCUCAAAGGAUUUGCUUUUUAUGUAUUAAACUUUUCUUCUAUAAAAAUGUAUUGCAAAAAAGAAAGUUAAAAGUGUGUAUCUUGUAUAGUUGAGUGUGUGACAGCUGACUGAUUGAUGAGAGAGUGUGCGAGGGAGAACCUCAGAAUAAACGCUGCAUAAUAAAUGCUGUCAUGGUGCAAAUAAGCUGCUAAAAAAGGAAAAAAAAACAAAAACAAAAAAGCAAGACUAACAGUCUGCAGCCAUGCUAGAGACUGUGUGAUGUUGCACUUACUGCUCACAAUGACAGUGCCAACAUCCUGAUCUUUAUUGGGUAUAAUGGUUACCAUGUUCACCACUGAGCGCGGGUAAUGUGAUGAAAAAAUAAGACAAUCAUAUUUUAAGACUCCAUAAUUGACUAAAUGUCAAGAUAAGAUGUUUUGCAGUGUACCAUGGCAAACAGCAUAGAUGGUUGUUGCUAUGGUUACCACUGUAGUACUAAUAUACUGAGGAUGGAGCACUUUUUUCAAUAUUUGUAAUGAAACAAAGUAAAGAAACGAGUAUAAAAAUGUUGUGUGAGGAGACUUGAAAGUGAGGUCUGUUCACUCAGAAGUGAACAUUGACCAACUGUAAACUCAGGGGCUCGCUUUCAACCACAUCACAGCUCUGCCAGGACAAAUAAGAACAUUCAGCUUUCAUAACUGUCAAGAUACAGACCUUAUAAUAAUUAAUUUUAUUAAUUAAUCAACCGUCUGAACUAUGUCAGUCUGACUGUUCCUUCUGUUUGUCUGCCUGUUUGUCUCCUCGUCUUAUUCUGUCUGUCUGUAUCUAUUUAUCUGUCUGUCUGUCUGUAUUUAUCUCUUUCUGUCGGUCUUCUCCACUGUCGCAUUCAACAGCAGGACGGAUCACUAUUAAGCAAGGAAAAACAGCGUAAUGCAGCAGUCAGUGUUCUUGUAUUUCUUCUCGGUCGCACUAUUUGGCAGAGCGAGGCAGGGGCGGGGAGAGAAAGUGAGGAACGUCAAGUUUGCGGCAAUGAGACCGGAGGUGUGGCGUUAAAGUAAAAUAAAAGCUGAAAUUUUUACACUAUGUUACAAUCCAAUUCUUUUUUUACC
Long non-coding RNA from Thunnus maccoyii (southern bluefin tuna), 1590 nucleotides. RefSeq lists it as uncharacterized. The record is from RefSeq and is a predicted model, not a curated record. The transcript is spliced from 3 exons. Lineage: Eukaryota; Metazoa; Chordata; Actinopteri; Scombriformes; Scombridae.